RNAcentral lists this ribosomal RNA (486 nucleotides) under uncultured bacterium. Its description in RNAcentral is "partial 16S ribosomal RNA". It matches the Rfam family "Bacterial small subunit ribosomal RNA", at positions 28 to 507 of the family's 1533-position model. The record is from RNAcentral.
GAUGAACGCUAGCGGCAGGCUUAACACAUGCAAGUCGAGGGGCAGCGCGGGAUAGCAAUAUCCUGGCGGCGACCGGCGGAAGGGUGCGUAACGCGUGAGCGACAUGCCCGUUGCCCGGGGACAACCGGUGGAAACGCCGACUAAUCCCCGAUGGGAUAUUGUGCCGCAUGGCACGAUAUUGAAAGUUACGGCGGCGACGGAUUGGCUCGCGUCCGAAUAGCUUGUUGGCGGGGUAACGGCCCACCAAGGCUACGAUCGGUAGGGGUUCUGAGAGGAAGGCCCCCCACAAUGGGACUGAGACACGGCCCAUACUCCUACGGGAGGCAGCAGUGAGGAAUAUUGGUCAAUGGGCGGAAGCCUGAACCAGCCAUGCCGCGUGCGGGAAGGAGGCCCUAUGGGCUGUGAACCGCUUUUGCCUGGGGGCAAUAAGGGCGUCGCGCACGUCCGAUGAGAGUACCAGGCGAAUAAGCAUCGGCUAACUCCGUG